RNAcentral lists this ribosomal RNA (868 nucleotides) under Escherichia coli. RNAcentral's name for it is "bacterial SSU rRNA". It matches the Rfam family "Bacterial small subunit ribosomal RNA", at positions 677 to 1533 of the family's 1533-position model. The record is from RNAcentral. Lineage: Bacteria; Pseudomonadati; Pseudomonadota; Gammaproteobacteria; Enterobacterales; Enterobacteriaceae.
AGCGGUGAAAUGCGUAGAGAUCUGGAGGAAUACCGGUGGCGAAGGCGGCCCCCUGGACGAAGACUGACGCUCAGGUGCGAAAGCGUGGGGAGCAAACAGGAUUAGAUACCCUGGUAGUCCACGCCGUAAACGAUGUCGACUUGGAGGUUGUGCCCUUGAGGCGUGGCUUCCGGAGCUAACGCGUUAAGUCGACCGCCUGGGGAGUACGGCCGCAAGGUUAAAACUCAAAUGAAUUGACGGGGGCCCGCACAAGCGGUGGAGCAUGUGGUUUAAUUCGAUGCAACGCGAAGAACCUUACCUGGUCUUGACAUCCACGGAAGUUUUCAGAGAUGAGAAUGUGCCUUCGGGAACCGUGAGACAGGUGCUGCAUGGCUGUCGUCAGCUCGUGUUGUGAAAUGUUGGGUUAAGUCCCGCAACGAGCGCAACCCUUAUCCUUUGUUGCCAGCGGUCCGGCCGGGAACUCAAAGGAGACUGCCAGUGAUAAACUGGAGGAAGGUGGGGAUGACGUCAAGUCAUCAUGGCCCUUACGACCAGGGCUACACACGUGCUACAAUGGCGCAUACAAAGAGAAGCGACCUCGCGAGAGCAAGCGGACCUCAUAAAGUGCGUCGUAGUCCGGAUUGGAGUCUGCAACUCGACUCCAUGAAGUCGGAAUCGCUAGUAAUCGUGGAUCAGAAUGCCACGGUGAAUACGUUCCCGGGCCUUGUACACACCGCCCGUCACACCAUGGGAGUGGGUUGCAAAAGAAGUAGGUAGCUUAACCUUCGGGAGGGCGCUUACCACUUUGUGAUUCAUGACUGGGGUGAAGUCGUAACAAGGUAACCGUAGGGGAACCUGCGGUUGGAUCACCUCCUUACCUUAAAGAAGC